UACAGAGGGGGCAAGCGUUGUUCGGGAUUACUGGGCGUAAAGGGCGCGUAGGCGGCCUGUUAAGUCGGACGUGAAAUCCCUCGGCUCAACCGGGGAACUGCGUCCGAUACUGGCGGGCUUGAAUUCGGGAGAGGGAUGUGGAAUUCCAGGUGUAGCGGUGAAAUGCGCAGAUAUCAGGAGGAACACCGAUGGCGAAGGCAGGUCUCUGGGCAUUAACUGACGCUGAGGAGCGAAAGCAUGGGGAGCGAACAGG
Molecule: ribosomal RNA, 253 nt
Filed under: uncultured bacterium
Lineage: Bacteria
Description: partial 16S ribosomal RNA
Rfam family: Bacterial small subunit ribosomal RNA
Source: RNAcentral